GACGAACGCUGGCGGCGUGCUUAACACAUGCAAGUCGAACGGAAAGGCCCUGCUUUUGUGGGGUGCUCGAGUGGCGAACGGGUGAGUAACACGUGAGUAACCUGCCCUUGCCUUUGGGAUAACUUCAGGAAACUGGGGCUAAUACCGGCUAGGAGCUCCUGCUGCAUGGUGGGGGUUGGUAAGUUUCGGUGGUUGGGGAUGGACUGGCGGCUCAUCAGCUUGUUGGUGGGGUAGUGGCUUACCAAGGCUUUGACGGGUAGCCGUGCUGAGAGGGUGACCGGCCACAUUGCGCCUGAGAUGCGGCACAGACUCCUACGGGAGGCAGCAGUGCGGAAUAGUGCACAAUGGGCGGAAGCAUGAUGCAGCAACGCCGCGUGCGGGAUGACGGCCUUCGGGUUGUAAACCGCUUUCGCCUGUGACGAAGCGUGAGUGACGGUAAUGGGUAAAGAAGCACCGGCUAACUACGUG
Molecule: ribosomal RNA, 468 nt
Filed under: uncultured bacterium
Lineage: Bacteria
Description: partial 16S ribosomal RNA
Rfam family: Bacterial small subunit ribosomal RNA
Source: RNAcentral